UUAUGGAAAUAAUUGGCCCCAUUGACUCACUGCACGAUCACUUUAUGCCAUAGUGAAGUCUGUUUUUGCUUAGGUAUUCUUUUUUUUAAUGGCUUUUUUCAAUAACUUAAAAUUUUUUAUCAUUCAAACUGAUAUUAUAUCUAUGCCUUAUUUUGAUUAACUAGUAAACUGUUCAGUGUUUAAUAGAACUCUUCUGUCUCUCAUGUGCAGGUGCCAUCUUCAAACAGCUCCAUUAUUUAUGUCUGGUGCACAGUUUUGACUUUAGAACCCAGCUCUCAAGUGCAGCAGCGAAUGGUGAGUGCUUUCAGAUCCUAAAAUAUGGCAUACGACUUUGACCUUUCCUGUUCUGAAAUAAAUUAAGGUCAGAGUGACCCAGGGAAGAGAUUUAUUACAAGUUUGUCUCAGCAUCAAACAGCUGGAAUACUGCAACAAAGCAAAUAUGAAAGUUGUUCUGUCCUUUUAUUUUUAUAGAUUGUGUUCAGCCCUCUUUUUAUCAUGAGGAGUCAUCUUCCAGACCCCAUUAUCAUACAUUUGGAGAAAAGGAGUCUGGGAUUGAGUGAAACACAAAUUAUUCCAGGAAAAGGACAGGAAAAACCACUGCAAAACAUAGAACCUGACCUUGUACAUCACCUAACAUUUCAAGCAAGGUACUGGGAAAAUCCUUAACUUUUUCCUCAAAUUCAGAAGAAAAGGUACCUUGUCCUGUCAAGGGGGGCAAGAAAGGAUAGAGUUUUUUGUGUGAUUUCUUAUGAGAAUGUUAUUUUUAAAUUGCCUUGCCUAGUGUUCUCCUGUUCUCUUCUGUAGUUGAAGAUAAAAUUCAGCCGCGUUCAAAAUGAAAAAGAGGGAUGAUCAGAAAAUCUAAUUGACAACAUAAUUUCUGUAGAGGAACGAGAGAGCUCCACCCUAGCACUGGGGAGGAAAGUCCCAGAUCAUUCCCCAAACUGUUUCAUCAUCCCUGAAGCACCAAAAAUUGACUUGCUCUCACCAAAAAAAAAAAAAAAAAAACACACACACAUUGGUUUAUAAUACAUCUGAUAAUCAUUCUCGUUUUUCCUUUCCAUUUCCUAGAGAAGAGGAUGACCCUUCACACUGUGCUGUUCCCAUCUCAACAUCCCUCAUUAAGCAGAUAGCCACUAAGAUACACCCCGAAGGCACAGUCACUCAGAUACUUGAUGAGUUCUACGGGCCAGAGAAGUUCCUUCAACCCACAUGGCCCUAUAAUAAAAAGGACUCUGACAGGAAUGAGCAACUGAGCCAGUGGGACAGCCCAAUGCGAGUGAAGCUGUCAGCCUGGAAGCCAUAUGUGAGGACCUUAUUGAUAGAAUUGCUACCGUGGGCCCUGCUUAUCAAUCAGUCCAAGUGGGACCUCUGGCUGUUUGAGGGAGAGAAGAUUGUUCUACAGGUUCCUGCUGGCAAAAUUAUUAUCCCUCCUAAUUUUCAGGUACUAUAACUCUUUUUUUAAACUAGUAGGAAUUCUUUUCUUUCAACAACCAUCUUUUAUUCUGAGGUUACAUUUAUGUUCUUAACAGACUCAAUCAG
This 1539-nucleotide long non-coding RNA is filed under the name Capra hircus (goat). RNAcentral describes it as "lncRNA (ENSCHIG00000001183.1)". Lineage: Eukaryota; Metazoa; Chordata; Mammalia; Artiodactyla; Bovidae. The record is from RNAcentral.